GUUCUCCGAGCGCUCCGGAUACUCACAAAGUAGGGGAGAGGUGCCACCGUCCGUCCCAACGCCCGGGGCUGGCCUCAGCCUGAUCCUCUUUGUAACACUUGCCUGUGCAAGAGCCGCAGACACCCACGUUUCCCCAGGAGGGUAGUGCCAUGUGCCUGCCAGCAAGUUACCCCUGGGAGGAGGGGGCUGUCUGUGCCCGCUUCUCAUUAAGGCAGGGGUGAGGGGGGCGGGGGAGCAAGCCAGAGGCCGCUGUGUGUGUGUGUGUAUGUGUGUGUGUGUGUGUGUGUGUGUGUGUGUGAGUGUGUGUGUUCAUCCUUCCUCUGACAGUGUGGAAGGGAUGAGGGAGACUGAAAACUGAGAAAUAUCAAUGCACCAGGAAUCCCACAACCGAAGUAUGUGCCCUGGCUUAACUGGACUCGAACCCUGGGCCCUUUACUCUAACCACUGAGCAAAGUGGCCAGGAGCCAAAGUGAGGCCCCUUUGGAUUCAGGAAAGCUCGGGGUUAACAUGGGGAUUC
Long non-coding RNA from Pipistrellus kuhlii (Kuhl's pipistrelle), 517 nucleotides. RefSeq lists it as uncharacterized. NCBI's taxonomy places the organism in Eukaryota, Metazoa, Chordata, Mammalia, Chiroptera, Vespertilionidae. The transcript is spliced from 3 exons. The record is from RefSeq and is a predicted model, not a curated record.